GAGGUUACUAACGGAAGGAAGCUCUACAUCCCUCCACGAGAAGUGCAUGUCCAAGUUAAACACUCCAUGCCGCCGCAAAAGCUCGAGAUGUUCAAAUCCUUGGAAGGAUGGGCUGACGAGACCCUCUUGACCUACUUAAAACCCGUCGAGAAGUCGUGGCAGCCGACAGAUUUUCUCCCGGAAGCCGAGUCAGAAGGGUUCUAUGACCAAGUCAAAGAGUUAAGGGAACGGUGUAAGGAGCUUCCCGACGAGUAUUUCGUGGUGCUUGUCGGUGAUAUGAUCACUGAAGAAGCGCUUCCGACUUACCAGACCAUGUUGAACACGUUGGAUGGUGUUAGGGAUGAGACGGGAGCUAGUCCUACUCCUUGGGCGGUGUGGACUAGGGCGUGGACUGCUGAAGAGAAUAGGCAUGGGGAUUUGCUUAACAAGUAUCUUUAUUUGUCUGGGAGAGUUGACAUGAGGCAGAUUGAGAAGACUAUUCAGUACCUUAUUGGCUCUGGAAUGGUAAGCUUCUCUGAUUUGUAUUCUAUGUUUCUCAUGUAUGAUUAAUUUAUAGGCCUGCCGGUUCGGGUAAAAUUUUGCUGAAUUGAACCGUAAAAAAGUUCGGUUCGGUUCUUGGCUAGUUCGUAUCAAAAAAUUUUACCGAAAUUUUUGGUUUAAAUUGAAUAAAAUUCAAAAAAAAAUUUUGUUCGGAUUUUGAUUAGUUCUGUUAUUUUGAUUCGGAUUUUGGUUAGUUCGGUUCGGAUUUUCGGUUAAUAUUGGUACUGUUUGAUUGUUUUUGUUACCAAACAUCCGAACCGAAAACCGAACUUUUCGGUUCGGUUCGGUUAAAAAUCCCAGCUCUAAUUAAUUAUAUAUGACUGAUAUUGUUUUAUCUUCUUAGGAUCCAAAAACUGAAAACAACCCUUACUUGGGUUUCAUCUACACAUCCUUUCAAGAAAGAGCGACCUUCAUCUCCCAUGGAAACACUGCCAGACACGCUAAAGAUCUUGGAGAUUUGAAACUUGCGCAGAUAUGCGGGACCAUUGCUGCUGACGAGAAGCGCCACGAGACUGCUUACACCAAGAUUGUGGAGAAGCUCUUCGAAAUCGACGCUGAUGGCACCAUCUUGGGAUUGGCUGAUAUGAUGAAGAAAAAGAUCUCGAUGCCUGCGCAUUUGAUGUAUGACGGCCAAGAUGAUAACCUGUUUGAGCACUUCUCGACCGUUGCCCAGAGGCUUGGUGUUUACACGGCCAAGGACUAUGCUGAUAUUCUGGAGUUUCUUGUUGAACGGUGGAACGUUGAGACUUUGUCAGGCCUUUCUAGUGAAGGACACAAGGCUCAGGUAAAAUUACCAUCAUUAAACUUGUGAUGAAACCUAUCAGCUUAUGAAGUCUCUCUUAGUAGGUUUCUUCGUCAUGAAUAUAAUAUACUAGCUGGACGGCUUGAUCUGUUUUGUGUAUUUGAUCGGGGACAUGAACUUGAAUUCUGACUCUGUCAUUGCCUCUGACAGGACUUUGUCUGUGGAUUACCUGCAAGAAUCCGCAAGAUUGAAGAGAGAGCUCAAGGAAGAGCCAAAGAAGCAGCCAAAAACGUACCAUUCAGCUGGAUUUUUGGUCGGGAGAUUAGGGCUUAAGUAAACAUCUCUCUCUCUCUUUCAAAUGAUCCCCGAGUAAGCCGCCAUAAACAUCUCCACCGAUGACGUACCAGUCUUAAGACCUCGAAAGUUCAUUUGAAUAUGUUUUGUUUUAUACGGAACAUUGUAGAUAAUGUUAUGUUUUCUUGUUAGUCGAAGACCAUAAAAUGGUGUUUUGAGUGUUCCUAGUGAGUGAUAAUGUCUGGUUACCAAGAACAAAAAGACUUUUAAGAGUUUGGUUUUCUAUUUUCGAUUCUCUUUUUUGUUGUACCAGUACUUAAUAAUGUUCUCCCAUAAGCAAAGAACGGUUUGUAAUUUAAACCUCUUGUUCAAGUAACAACCAACCAAAAAGUGACCGUUUUAUUACCAUAACAAAGAUGAAACUUAAAAAUAACGUUUUAAUACAAUUGAAACGGAGUAAAGUCUUAUUAGAUGAAACCAUAACUGCAAACGCACAAAUCAAAACUGUUUCUUCUUUUACUCUCAAAUUAAAAGAAGAAGAAAGACUCUGUUCACGAUCUUGUUUAGCUUCUAAAAACUUUAAAGAUCAUGUUUCCCAAGAAACCAGCUGAUUCAUCUACCACACAUCAACACAGCUUCGACGAGUCUCGAUGGGUCAACAACGUCAGAAAAUCUCUCGACGCAGAGCUCGAAGACCACCCUCUCGAACAAGUCACAGUCAGCAUUUUCACCGUCCCUAAAGCUUUAAUGUCUACCCACCAAGACUCAUACACACCUCAGCGAGUCUCCAUCGGACCUUACCACUGUCUCAAACCAGAGCUUCACGAAACAGAGAGGUACAAACUAACGAUCGCUAGAAAAUUUCGAAACAAUUCCAAAUCUUUCAGGUUUCACGACCUCGUCGAGAAGCUGCAAUCAUUGGAGGCCAAGAUCAGAGCUUGCUAUCAUAAGUACAUCGCGCUGAGCGACGAGACUCUGCUGUGGAUAAUGGCGAUCGACUCUUCGUUCUUGAUCGAGUUUCUUAAGGUUUAUUACGGUUUCGGAAAGGUCGAGACUUUGAUUAACAGAGUCGGCCACAACGAGAUUCUUAGAGAUGUAAUGAUGUUAGAGAAUCAAAUCCCGUUGUUCGUUUUGAGGAAAACGCUCGAAGUUCAGCUCGAAUCGAAGGAAUCAGCUGAUGCUCUGUUGGUCUCUGUUCUCACUGGACUCUGCAGAGACCUCUCUCCCCUCGUUGUUAAAUUCGAAGAUGGUGAGAUUCUGAAGGCUGAGAUUCAUGAGUGCAAUCAUAUCCUAGACUUCUUGUAUCAGAUGAUCGUUCCAAGAAUCGAAGAAGAAGAGGAAGAAGAAGAAGAAAACAGAGCAGGCGAAAACAGAGCAUGUAAGCUUCUGAGAGAGAUGAAGCUUCAGUUCAAAAGGGUCUUCGCGUCUCGACCUGCUGAUGUCAUCCUGAGACUCCCAUGGAGAGUCAUAUCGAAUCUCCCCGGCUUCAUCGCUAUACUUUUAUCAAUGGGUCACACUGCUAUUUUAAUAGAAUAGAUGUGAUAUAAAUUUUAUGAUUAGUUAAUGAUUCCCUAUUUGCGUAUAUUGACGUUCGUGCAAGUCUUGAUAAUAAACGAUUUAAAUCUGACAUGUAUUCUUCGACUCUUCGGUUAGAAUAGUAGUUGUUGAUUUUUGAAAAUAAAAGUAGUCGAAAGUCCACCCAUCUCUCGAUUAAAAUGGUAACAAACGGUUGCAUAUUUAUCAUGCGUCCAAAACAAUAUAACUGUCCAAUAACUAAAUUACCUUUAUGCCAUUAGUGAAGGGUAACUAGACCUUUGUAAAAGUGAUGGUAAAAUAAGUAAUAUAAAUAGUUGGACUAAACUUAUAUCAAUAGGUCAAGAUGUUAGUUUUUAAUAUAAUAGACUAAAUUCUGACCCGUCCUUUAAGGACGGGUAUAUUUUUUGUUUUACAUCUUUUUAGGUCUUUUCAAUUGGUAAUUUAAAUAUAAGUUUAAUAACAUAAAGCAUAAUAAAUAAUAUUUUAAAUAAUGAUAAAGAUAAAAAAAAUAAUAAUUGGACAUACUUUUAUCAAUGGGUCACAGUGCUAUUUUAAUAGAAUAGAUGUGAUAUAAAUUUUAUGAUUAGUUAAUGAUUCCCUAUUUGCGUAUAUUGACGUUCGUGCAAGUCUUGAUAAUAAACGAUUUAAAUCUGACAUGUAUUCUUCGACUCUUCGGUUAGAAUAGUAGUUGUUGAUUUUUGAAAAUAAAAGUAGUCGAAAGUCCACCCAUCUCUCGAUUAAAAUGGUAACAAACGGUUGCAUAUUUAUCAUGCGUCCAAAACAAUAUAACUGUCCAAUAACUAAAUUACCUUUAUGCCAUUAGUGAAGGGUAACUAGACCUUUGUAAAAGUGAUGGUAAAAUAAGUAAUAUAAAUAGUUGGACUAAACUUAUAUCAAUAGGUCAAGAUGUUAGUUUUUAAUAUAAUAGACUAGAUUCUGACCCGUCCUUAAAGGACGGGUAUAUUUUUUGUUUUACAUCUUUUUAGGUCUUUUCAAUUGGUAAUUUAAAUAUAAAUUUAAUAACAUAAAGCAUAAUAAAUAAUAUUUUAAAUAAUGAUAAAGAUAAAAGAAAUAAUAAUUGGACCAUACUUUUAUCAAUGGGUCACACUGCUAUUUUAAUAGAAUAGAUUUAAAUAUAGGUCUAAUGGCAUAAAACAUAAUAAAUAAUAUUUUAAAUAAUGAUAAAGAUAAAAGAAAUAAUAGUUGGACGAUACUUUUAUCAAUGGGUCACACUGCUAUUUUAAUAGAAUAGAUUCUGGAUGAUGUGGUUAUGUCUAAAAGGACACUUAUUUUGCCAGGUCCGGUUCGUGUAGUCUUGUUAGCCUGUUCUUAAGUAAAGAGCGUUGGAUUAUGACCAGUUUAAGGUCUGUAUCUACUCUUACACGUUUAAAAUAAGUGCAGAUUUAAUAAUGGUUCUAGCUGGGCCAGAGUGGACCGGCUAGUAUUAGACGUACCAUAACCAAGGACUACGUUAUUCAACAUAUAACCGCGUAAUGAGAAUAUGAUAUAAUUUGGGGUGAUGGUUCUGUAGAUAACUAAUAAAUGCAUGGAAGAACUAACUUACCAUGCCAAGGAACAGCAUGUGCACAUUAUCAUAACUCACAAAGCCUCUCUGUCAUCUACGCAGAGAUUCUUUCUCUCUCAAACACUCAUAAACACAUUAAUUAUCCGCUAGAGUUUGACUUUUUUUCCCGGAGGAAACAUGGCGUCGAACCAUGAGUUUCUUGCUCGGUUCGUCGAGGAGACAACGUUUUACAACCGAAUAGUUCUGAGCCACCUUUUGCCGGCGAAUCUAUGGGAGCCUUUGCCACAUUUCCUCCAAACAUGGCUCCGGAACUACCUAGCCGGAAACUUACUUUACUUCAUCUCCGGCUUCCUCUGGUGCUUCUACAUCUAUUACCUUAAACUCAACGUUUACGUCCCUCAAGGUGAGAUUAUUUUUUCAGUUCGUCUUAUUUUUGAGCUCUCUUUUUUUUUAAUGAAUCUACAAUAUUCUUCAGAUUCUGUUCCUACAAGAAAGGCAAUGAUUCUACAAAUAUAUGUGGCAAUGAAGGCUAUGCCUUGGUCCACACUUGUUCCAACUGUCUCUGAGUAUAUAAUCGAGCGUGGUUGGACCAAAUGUUACUCUACACUUGAUCAGUUCAACUGGUGCCUCUGUUUGGUUUACAUCGCGUUUUAUCUUGUUUUAGUUGAGUUUAUGAUUUAUUGGGUUCACAAAAUGACUCAUGACAAUAAAUUUCUCUAUAAGCAUCUCCAUGCAACCCACCAUAUGUACAACAAGCAAAACACACUCUCUCCAUUUGCUGGUUAGUCACAUUCUUAUUUCUUAAGAACUCUCUUUCAAACCUGCUUGCCCUGGGAGUUAACUUUAACCUUAUCUUCGAUAAUGUUGAAACUAACAUUCAAAUCGAACGGCCGGUCUAUAAAUUUGGUGCUAAGAUUCAUGAGUUUCCAACUUAGUUACAAUUGGCAAUAAGUGGAUUGGUCUAGAUGUCUUAUAUAUUAUUUAUGUUUCAUCGAAACUCUUAAUUUGGGGGAUUUUAUUCUUAUACUCUCUUUAGUGAUUAAACUUCAUGACCUAUUAAUCUUUACAUAGUCCCAAUACUUGGUAAUAAAUUUUUUCUGUCAACUUGGUAAUAUAUAACAUUGCUUGAAAGUUUUUCGGGUUUUCAGGGCUUGCGUUCCAUCCAUUGGAUGGGAUACUUCAGGCAGUACCGCAUGUGAUAGCUCUGUUCAUAGUGCCGAUACAUCUCAUAACACAUUUGAGUCUUUUUAUUAUGGAAGGGAUAUGGACAGUGAGCAACCAUGAUUGCAUCAAUGGUAACAUAUGGCCUAUAAUGGGUGCAGGACACCAUACCAUACACCAUACAACAUACAAGCAUAACUAUGGCCAUUAUACCAUAUGCAUGGAUUGGCUGUUUGGCUCACUUAAGGUCCCUUUAGCUGAAGACGACAGCUUUAAUGAGAAAGAAAAGUGAUAUGUUCAACGUACACAUUUUUUUUGUUGUCCUUCAUGUGUUUUUCUACUCCUGAGUCUUAAACCUUUGUAAUAUCACUUUGUUAGAAUAAGAAACAUGAUUGCACUAUUAGCUACAAAGUUUCUUACUUGUCUUCAAAGAAUACUUAGUUUGGUAAGUAGAAGGUUGAUAAAGAUACAACACUAGCAUCUAUAAUAGGCAAAGUUUGUACUUUUCAGUUAAGGUAAGAAAUCUAAAAACAUAAAAAUAGAGAAAAUUAAAGGUAGUAUAAAAUAUAGCCAAGUAUACGCUUUCAUAAUCAACUAGUUCUUGUAGAUGGGUCACAUAGAAAGCAUAAAUAUCUGCCAAUGCUCCCACUUGUGUUGAAUGGGUUGUCCCACAGAGUCACAGAUCUCUAUGCCUACACAUUUAAUAUUGUUAUGGCUCCUUUAACUACUGUGAUGUUUAAGUGCAGACUUUUCUCAGAUCAGAAGAAAACCAGUUAGUUGGGGCAAUGACAUAUUUAGCUCACCAUAAAAUUGCUAAAAAAAAAAGCUCACCAUAAGAAUGAGUUGUGAAAUAUAGAAUCACCAAGUCAUUAUUAGAAACGUUGUCAAUGGAUUUGAUUCUUGAUGUUUAAAACUGUUGGGAUUAGUCGAAGCAUAAUUUAGGCCCAAUAAUUUGACAAAAGAAUGAGUCAUAUAUCAUUCGGCCCAUGGGCCUGUGAAAAAAGCAGCGAAAAAUAUCUGAGUGUGGCAUUGACGUAAAUAAAAGAGCACCUGAGGGAUAUUCUAGAGAAGAAAAAUAAAAGUUGCAUACAUACACAUGUCCAUGGCUCGAUCAUCACGCCCACCCAAAACCUUCACAUUUGUCACAGUCUCGUAGCAGCAAUCAAACAUAGAAAUAAUCGACCUUCGGGAUCCGUCCUUGUUCUUUAUUUAAAUCACUUCCAUUUAUCGAGUUUGUUAGAGUCUUAGAGAAUAAACUAAGAGAAAAAUGGCGAUGGCUAUGAGUCGGAUCGUACUUUCGCCUUCUUCUUACGCCUAUCGUCCUCGUCAAGCUCGUGGAUCCAGAUCCUCCAUUGCUUCUUCGAUUCGUUCCGCUACUACGUGAGCCUUUUCUCCCUUCAUUGUCGUAAUCAUAUGUUUUGCUGAUCUGUGUGUUUUGGAUUGAAUGCCGAUGAUGAAUCUCUGUUAUCACCAAUGUUCAAAAAUAGCUAAGGCUGUAACUAGUCGUAUUAGCAACUAGGCGGAUUAUUUGGAAUCUAGGCCUAGCCUUCCUGGGGUUAACAAAUUAUUGACUGAUUUGAUGUAUUUUUACAUUCGUGUAAGAUAUUUUAGUUUUUAGAUCUAAUUAUAAAAUUAGUUCGAUGAAUUACUAAAAUUAGAUAUAUAUAUAAAACAAAAAAAAAAUAGUCAAAAUUUGUGGAUUUGUACCAACAUUAUUAACAAAUUUAGACUAAUUUAAAUUAAUUUAGAAUGGCUUAAACCGAUUUAAAAUAGCUUAAAUCUUAUAUAAAUCGAAUAUUUUAAAAAACCAUUUCGGCUCGCAUCGAUUUUUAGGACAAAUUUUAUUAUCAUGGUUAUUACUAAUUCAUCGAGGAAGACAUAUAUACUGUCUGAAGCUUAUUGGUGUUUUUUCAGGAUUGUUGUGUGUAGUACUGCUAAGUCUAUUUUAUUUUCAUCACUCGCUCAAGUCCUGAGUUUGAAACUCUAUUUGGUUUAAUUACAGGGAGGUUACUAACGGAAGGAAGCUCUACAUCCCUCCACGAGAAGUGCAUGUCCAAGUUAAACACUCCAUGCCGCCGCAAAAGCUCGAGAUGUUCAAAUCCUUGGAAGGAUGGGCUGACGAGACCCUCUUGACCUACUUAAAACCCGUCGAGAAGUCGUGGCAGCCGACAGAUUUUCUCCCGGAAGCCGAGUCAGAAGGGUUCUAUGACCAAGUCAAAGAGUUAAGGGAACGGUGUAAGGAGCUUCCCGACGAGUAUUUCGUGGUGCUUGUCGGUGAUAUGA
Molecule: long non-coding RNA, 8081 nt
Filed under: Brassica napus (rape)
Lineage: Eukaryota; Viridiplantae; Streptophyta; Magnoliopsida; Brassicales; Brassicaceae
Description: long non-coding RNA (BNAP_LNC026303)
Source: RNAcentral